RNAcentral lists this ribosomal RNA (216 nucleotides) under uncultured bacterium. RNAcentral describes it as "partial 16S ribosomal RNA". It matches the Rfam family "Bacterial small subunit ribosomal RNA", at positions 105 to 334 of the family's 1533-position model. The record is from RNAcentral.
GGUAACGUAACGACUGACUAACCUACCCUCGAGUGGGGAAUAACCUAGAGAAAUCUGGGCUAAUACCGCAUAACACUUACGAGUCAAAGCAGCAAUGCGCUUGGGGAGGGGGUCGCGGCAGAUUAGCUAGUUGGCGGGGUAAUGGCCCACCAAGGCAAUGAUCUGUAUCCGGCCUGAGAGGGCGCACGGACACACUGGAACUGAAACACGGUCCAG